RNAcentral lists this ribosomal RNA (473 nucleotides) under Clostridioides difficile. Its description in RNAcentral is "partial 23S ribosomal RNA". It matches the Rfam family "Bacterial large subunit ribosomal RNA", at positions 2450 to 2925 of the family's 2925-position model. The record is from RNAcentral. Lineage: Bacteria; Bacillati; Bacillota; Clostridia; Peptostreptococcales; Peptostreptococcaceae.
CAACGGAUAAAAGCUACCCUGGGGAUAACAGGCUUAUCUCCCCCAAGAGUCCACAUCGACGGGGAGGUUUGGCACCUCGAUGUCGGCUCAUCACAUCCUGGGGCUGUAGUAGGUCCCAAGGGUUGGGCUGUUCGCCCAUUAAAGUGGUACGCGAGCUGGGUUCAGAACGUCGUGAGACAGUUCGGUCCCUAUCCGUCGCAGGCGUAGGAAAUUUGAGAAGACCUGUCCUUAGUACGAGAGGACCGGGAUGGACGUACCUCUGGUGUACCAGUUGUCCUGCCAAGGGCAUGGCUGGGUAGCUAUGUACGGAAUGGAUAAGCGCUGAAAGCAUCUAAGCGCGAAGCCAACUUCAAGAUAAGAUUUCCCACCGCAAGGGUAAGACCCCAGAAAGACUAUCUGGUUGAUAGGUCGAAGGUGUAAGUGCAGUAAUGUAUUUAGCUUAUCGAUACUAAUAGGUCGAGGACUUGACCAAU